UUGGAGGGCAAGUCUGGUGCCAGCAGCCGCGGUAAUUCCAGCUCCAAUAGCGUAUAUUAAAGUUGUUGCAGUUAAAAAGCUCGUAGUUGAAUUUCGGGAUCAAUAUGUCGGUCGUGCCUCCGGUACGUACUGGCGUCAUUGGUUUCUCCCUUCUGAUGAACCACGAUGUCAUUAAUUUGGUGUCAUGGGGAAUCAGGACUGUUACUUUGAAAAAAUUAGAGUGUUUAAAGCAGGCUCACGCUUGAAUACAUUAGCAUGGAAUAAUGAAAUAGGACGUUUGAUUCUAUUUUGUUGGUUUCUAGGAUCGACGUAAUGAUUAAUAGGGAUAGUUGGGGGCAUUAGUAUUCAAUUGUCAGAGGUGAAAUUCUUGGAUUUAUUGAAGACUAACUACUGCGAAAGCAUUUGCCAAGGAUGUUUUCAUUAAUCAAGAACGAAAGUUAGGGGAUCGAAGACGAUCAGAUACCGUCGUAGUCUUAACCAUAAACUAUGCCGACUAGGGAUCGGAUGAUGUUAAUUUUUUAAUGACUCAUUCGGCACCUUACGGGAAAC
RNAcentral lists this ribosomal RNA (549 nucleotides) under uncultured Glomus. Its description in RNAcentral is "SSU rRNA". It matches the Rfam family "Eukaryotic small subunit ribosomal RNA", at positions 548 to 1098 of the family's 1831-position model. The record is from RNAcentral. Lineage: Eukaryota; Fungi; Glomeromycota; Glomeromycetes; Glomerales; Glomeraceae.